GGGAACAUCAGGACAGCAGUGGCACCAUGAGGGGCUGAGGACACUGGGAGGUACCCAGAGCUCCAGCGGGCACAGGCCAAGGGCAGGAGGGCAGGGCUGAGUCCAAGUACACACGUGCCCGGGGCUCUGUGGCCCCCAGCUCAGACUUGGCUCUACCCCACUGAUUCAGCCAGUACCUAACGAUGGAUAUAUUGACUCAGAACCACCACGAACAUGUAGUCACACCGACUGCCCUGCCGUAUCAAUCCAGCAAGCGAGCAAGGUUCUUUCAAAGGAAAGGAAGUUCCGCAAUAGCAUCCGUGCGUCUUGCGCCAAAGGAGACAGGGUGCAGGAAAGAACUUUGUAAGCUCCUCACACGCACAGGCCAGAGGGUUCUGACAGCUGGACCUGCUUGCCCCGAGGCCCCACCCGAAGCCUGGUCCCCCACCCACACAGAAUACAGUGGGUCCUGCUGCUCACAUCCCCUCUCUUCCCCUCACCCUUCUGUGACACAGCUGCCUCUGGCCCAGGGAUGCCCGAGGUCUUGGUAUGACUCCUCAGCUCACUUGAUGCUGACCCACGGCGGGACAGAGGAGGGAUUCGGAGGACCUCGUCCAGGGAUCCAGCCAUCCGCAGCUGACAGCUUUGUUUCUCCACUGGACCCUGCUCAUACCUUGAUUAGAUUAAAAAUAAUAGAGAACACUUGAGUUCAAAUUAAGAUUCCAACAGGAUUCAGCAAUUUCCACAAACAACAAUAAAAAUUAACAAGCUGACUCUGCCUCUAAAGGUCACUAUUUCUGAAGUCUCUGAUUUUCUAUAAGACUCACGGGUAUAACCUGUGCUGAUCUCUGGCUGGCAUUGACCCCGGACUGUUUUUCCUUCAUGGCCAUCUUUCCCA
This 877-nucleotide long non-coding RNA is filed under the name Mustela putorius furo (domestic ferret). RNAcentral describes it as "lncRNA (ENSMPUG00000025290.1)". Lineage: Eukaryota; Metazoa; Chordata; Mammalia; Carnivora; Mustelidae. The record is from RNAcentral.